Molecule: small RNA, 138 nt
Filed under: insect gut metagenome
Description: sraL Hfq binding RNA
Rfam family: sraL Hfq binding RNA
About the family: The SraL RNA ('sra' for small RNA), discovered in E. coli, and later in Salmonella Tiphimurium. It is expressed only in stationary phase.
Source: RNAcentral
UCAGCACAAACCGGAACCUCGCAACGGCUCGACUGAGGGGUGUUGAUGUCGGGGGAACCCCCCCUGUGAAAUAAGCGGGAUAGAGAGAAAGACAAAGACCGGGAAUAAACUAAAGCGCCUUUAUGGCGCUUUAGUUUU